GGCCGGGGUAUGUAGGUACUCUCGGUAAUUGUUGCAGAGACCGCCACCGUCGGCUAAUUCGUCCGCCGAGAAAUUUAUGACGGUUACCUUUUUGGGACAGAAGAUGUCUCUAAUCUCCCGCCAAAUUUACCAGCUUUAGUUGCAUUUUCCUUAAACAUAACCUGCGAUAAGGCAAUCAGAUCGUCGAUUUUGAUCAGGACAGUUAAUAAUUGGCUUAAUACUUUUUAUUGCACGUCUUUUUGAUCUAAUUCUACUUUAUACAAGCAAGAAUAAUUGAAUUGGAUCUUUAUUCGACGUCUGUAUCUGCCCAUACUAAACAUUAAUGGUGUGUGAUUUUCUGCAAUCGUCAAUUUCAAUAUUUAUAAAUCUGUACAUAGUACGUAAGCGAAGUGAGAAGUCAGCAAUUUUACGUAAGAAAGAAACGACGAGGUAACUUUGUUUGCUGGUAAAGUUCGAGAAUUUGCAUCAUCUCUGGCGAGAUUCAUUAUCAGAAAACCGGAUUUCGCUGAAACUAGUAGCGGCUUACGCAAAUUGCAUAAUUACGCAACGAUGAAAUGUUGCGUUGGCUCUAGCGCGAUCUUUUGAUGCGCUAAUUCCCUAGAUCGUGGAAUACGACGCAAUUCGAGUCGAUUUGACGUGUUUCCACUUCAAACGAAAACAUGAAAGAAGAGAGAGAACCGUAUCUUGACAGGUCUACGUGUUGGAAAUUCCAGGAACAUCAGGAAGAUUAUGUGUGGAGCACUGAUAGCUGAUAAGAGGUGGCUUAAGCUUUAAUUCAUCAUGAAGGUGAUUAAAAGUAUUUCUAUAUUUAACUCGCCGAUGAGUGGGCGUGCUGUUGUAUCAAUAUAAUCAAUGCUAGCAGGAUGAAUGUCAAUCCAACGGCCUGAGAUACUGUAUCACUUCCGGAUCAAUUUCGAUAAGCGCUCGUCGAUGAUGGCAAAGGAUCAUUCGCGCGAGGGGAAAAAAAAAAAGAGGGAGUCGUUAAGUCCGAUCACGAAAUACCCGAUUGAGGCGCGGUACGAACUAUGGUUCGUGCGCGCCCCUGCUAAAGCUUCGAAGACCCGAACAAAUAAAUGCUGAAAAGAGGAACAAAACCGACAUUAUGUGGCAUUAACAUACAAAGUAUGUCAGACCCGCGGUCCGCAGGCAUAACAUAGUAUCGCGGCGUUCGCAUACCCCGCCCGCUUUACAGUGACCAGCAGGAACAGAGAAAAGCAUUGGAAAGAGACCGAUCCCGAAAGCGGUGUGUAAGAAGGAGCGACGGUUAAAGGGAACGAAGGAGACGGGAGAAAGAGAGGAAGAGGGAAGAAACGAGUGUCGAAUGUGUUCGAGUAAAGGCGAUAGAUCGUACGCUGGAUAGAGAGGGCAGAAUGAUGAACGCAGAAAGGUGUGCGUGCUGUGGAAAAGGAGCGAGGAAGAGAACGAAGGAGAACGAGGGUGAAGAAGGAAGGGAGAGCGAGAGAAAGAACUGAAAGAGCGGAGGGAAGCGUUUACGCUAUCCGCAGUCCCCCGAGGUCCAGUCCCAUUCCGUCCCGUCCCGUCCCAUCCCAUCUCAUCGCAUCCCAUCCCAUUCCAUCCCAUCCUAUCGUUUCGUUGUCCCCGUGUGCCACGCGGUGCGGCUUAACGCAAAAGGGCCCACAGAGCGGGAGCAGAGUAACAGAACGCACAGGAAAGGGAAAGAUCCGAAGGCAGCAGCAUGCCGGUGGCAAAACGAAAAAUCGGCCCGCAUAUAUCGAGCUGGCCUGCGACGACGACGACGACGACGACGACGACGACGACGAUCGCUGCGACGGCGGCGGCGGCUACGACGACGAAGGUGGGACACACACAUAAAACCAAGGAUUCCUUGUGUUCCUGCUGCUUAGUCGACUCCCGAUCGGCUACCGCUAGCGAUGGUUACAAACUAGAGUUGAAUACGAGACUUUGAAUAAAGAAUCACACGAUUUCAGAUA
RNA transcript from Frieseomelitta varia, 1952 nucleotides. RefSeq lists it as uncharacterized. The transcript has 2 exons. NCBI's taxonomy places the organism in Eukaryota, Metazoa, Arthropoda, Insecta, Hymenoptera, Apidae. The record is from RefSeq and is a predicted model, not a curated record.